This is a long non-coding RNA of Conger conger (European conger), 484 nucleotides long. RefSeq lists it as uncharacterized. Lineage: Eukaryota; Metazoa; Chordata; Actinopteri; Anguilliformes; Congridae. The record is from RefSeq and is a predicted model, not a curated record. The transcript has 3 exons.
CAUGUGUCACGUAGUGAAACACGAUGCGAAAUCACGUACGUUUGCGCCACAACUCUUAUGUGUCAAGGGAGGAUUCCGAGGAAUAUACACUCAUCGAACUCUUUAGAUGCAAUGGGCGGCGAUGCUGGAAGUCCCGUACCAGAGAGGGGCCCAGGGGGUCCUGGGCUGGGACCCAAAAGCACUCUUCUGGGCAGUAACCCUCCCAGUCCACAAAGUACUGCAGAGCCCCGUGGAGCCAGCGGGAGUCAAGGAGCCGGAGGACUGUGUAGGCUGGCUGACCAUCACUGAUGCGUGGGGCGGGUGGAGGCCUUAUGACGGGUUGUCAAGGCGCUGGUCACCACUGGUAACCGCUGGUGACCGUUGCAAGUGGGGCUAAUAAAUGUUCCUAAUAAAGUUCUAGACAGUAAGUGACACCGGGUAGGAUUCUGGCCCGAAGUCGUUACCGGCACAGAUCGGGUCUGGAUCCAGGAAGGCAACAAUAUGG